CAACUGCCCCGAAAGCGAUCUCGCCUCGGCUCAUCUCAUUUUUCUAUUUCGGCCCCUCUACUGUUCCAAUAAUAAUAAAAAGAUUCUCGAUUCGAUUUACUCGCCAAUUUUCAGUGAGCGGCGGCGAUCGGCUUCGGAUCGGCGCAGCGCGGCGGAGCGGAGAUGGUUGCCGUGGCGGUGGAUGGCCUGAUCCGCGGUGCGGACGCCGUGCCGGCGGCGGAGAGGGAAGCGGUGAGGGCGGCAGCUGCGGAGGCGGCGGCCAAGGGCGGUGAGGGGGAAUCGGGGAAGGAGGAGGUGAGGGAGUAUGAGAGCGACAUGAGGAAGCUGGAGGAGCUGCUUUCUAAGCUGAACCCCUCGGCGGAGGAGUUCGUGCCGCAGUCCCGCCGCCGCGUGGACGGCGGCGCUCCCCGCCUUUCGGCCGACGCGCCCGUGUUCGUGUCGCCGGCGAUCGACUACUACGCGCGCCACCACCAGCUCCCGCCGCCGCCGCUUCUGCAGCAGCAGCAGCCGAUGCACGUGCUGCAGUUUGUGGGUGGCGUCGGCGGGGUUGGCAUGGGUGGCGGCGGGGGGAUGGACUCCAGCAGCGACGGAUCCGCCAAUGGUCAGCCGAAUCGACGGAGAAGGAACGGUUUCAUCCAGGGGAGGAGAAGGAUGAUGGGUGCCCGGCCUCGUCGAGCUGACAGGGAGGAUAGUGUGCGGCGGACAGUCUAUGUCUCUGACGUUGAUCAGCAUGUAACUGAACAGAAACUUGCUGAAGUUUUUUCAACCUGUGGACAGGUGGUAGAUUGCCGUAUCUGUGGUGAUCCUAACUCAGUGCUUCGUUUUGCUUUUAUCGAGUUUGCUGAUGACGUUGCUGCACAAGCAGCACUAGCACUUGGUGGAACCGUGCUUGGCUUUUAUCCUGUCAAGGUUCUGCCAUCAAAGACAGCAAUUUUACCUGUGAACCCUAAAUUUCUUCCUCACACUGAUGAUGAGAAAGAAAUGGUAUCCAGGACUGUGUAUUGUACUAACAUUGACAAGAAGAUCGCAGAAGAUGAAGUGAAGCAAUUCUUUGAGGGAACAUGUGGUGAAGUUUCUCGUCUGAGGCUACUUGGUGAUUAUGUGCACUCCACAUGCAUCGCUUUUGUUGAGUUUGUCCAAGUAAGUUAAAAUGGAACUUUAAAAUUUAAUAUCGUCACAAACAAAUCAAUUUUUGUAUCAGACAUAAUGGCAAACACAUUAAAUGAACAACACAAACACUUAUUCAUGUAAGCAUUUCCUGUUGGAAAGGCGAAUAUUGCAAUAUUUUGUUUGUAAAAUCGUCUAAUUGUUGAUUGCCCUGUAGCAAUUUCGACGUUGAACUUGUCUUUUUCCAUCCAUCCACAUCUUAUUUCUUCCAGCCUGCAUGAUUCACUUUAUUCUUCUCAAAUGCUUAGUAUUACCUGAUUCAUAUUUGGAUCAUUUAUUUGUAUUGCAGCUGUCAUCAUUGAUCAAGCUUUAGUUAUUGAAGUAACUAAGGGCUAUUAGCAGUCAUUUGAAUUUUCAUUUUUGCUUUGGGUGGCAAGUUUCAAGAGUUUCUACUGUAGUAGAAAGCUUCUUGUACACUAUCAUGUAGAACUGAUGUCAAUCUAUAAGGCCUUUUUGUUUCCUAACAGAUAAAGUAUGGUCAACUACUGAUUCAUGCCUAUCUACUACUCUACCAGCAUCUUUCUCCUGGCUUCAUCUGCAUCUCACCUUCUUACUGCUUUUAUUCUGUGUCAGCUACCAGUCUUCUAGAAACUUGUUACUCCCUCUUACAAUAUUUAUCCUUGGCCUCAGGAAAAUAUGUUCCACAAUAUUUCUCCAUUCAUGAUAUCAAGACUAGUCAUUUCUAGGUUUUCAUUAUCUAUCUCAAGUAUAAUAAAAUACUUUGAAAGAAGAUAACUACUUCUAUCAUAUUAUUUGUUAGGGAUAUAGAUGGUCAUUCUACGUUGAUUUUUUCCGUGGAAAUAGCACAUUCUUGGUUUAAGUGGAAGGCAGAUAGUGCUAUUCUCGCUCUGAACUGCAGUGGCAUUGUUCUUGGAACGCUUCCUGUUAGGGUGAGCCCAUCAAAGACACCAGUCCGCUCGCGAUCGCCCCGUGUGACGUCAUACUGAAUUCGGCUCAUCUGAAGCCGUCGUCCAGGGCAGCAAAUUUCUGGGCAACAAAGCCCUAGUCGUGUGGCCUUAGAGACUGCCGCAUCGCGGAUAAGUAAUUGUCGUUGAGCAGAGUUCUCGUUGGUUAAAGUCCAGUCUAGUAGGAGGCGCAGAGACCCGUCUGUAUGGUCGCUGGGAGAUCUAUCUUGACCUCCUUUUUCUGUUCUUUUUGGUCUUAGUUAUCGUGGUUGGAUUCUAUAGCAGCCUUGACAGGCAUUCGAACAACAAUGUUUAUGGUUAUCCUAUC
Molecule: RNA transcript, 2400 nt
Organism: Zea mays
Lineage: Eukaryota; Viridiplantae; Streptophyta; Magnoliopsida; Poales; Poaceae
Exons: 10
Source: RefSeq, marked provisional